GAUGAACGCUGGCGGCGUGCCUAAUACAUGCAAGUCGAGCGAACAGACGAGGAGCUUGCUCCUCUGACGUUAGCGGCGGACGGGUGAGUAACACGUGGAUAACCUACCUAUAAGACUGGGAUAACUUCGGGAAACCGGAGCUAAUACCGGAUAAUAUAUUGAACCGCAUGGUUCAAUAGUGAAAGACGGUUUUGCUGUCACUUAUAGAUGGAUCCGCGCAGCAUUAGCUAGUUGGUAAGGUAACGGCUUACCAAGGCAACGAUGCGUAGCCGACCUGAGAGGGUGAGCGGCAACACAGGAGCUGAGACACGGUCCAGCCUCCUACGGGAGGCAGCAGUAGGGAAUCUUCCGCAAUGGGCGAAAGCCUGACGGAGCAACGCCGCGUGAGUGAUGAAGGUCUUCGGAUCGUAAAACUCUGUUAUUAGGGAAGAACAAAUGUGUAAGUAACUAUGAACGUCUUGACGGUACCUAAUCAGAAAGCCACGGCUAACUAC
RNAcentral lists this ribosomal RNA (494 nucleotides) under uncultured bacterium. RNAcentral's name for it is "partial 16S ribosomal RNA". It matches the Rfam family "Bacterial small subunit ribosomal RNA", at positions 28 to 504 of the family's 1533-position model. The record is from RNAcentral.